This 88-nucleotide microRNA precursor is filed under the name Chlorocebus sabaeus (green monkey). Its description in RNAcentral is "miRNA (ENSCSAG00000026952.1)". The record is from RNAcentral. Lineage: Eukaryota; Metazoa; Chordata; Mammalia; Primates; Cercopithecidae.
CAUUAGUAGGUUGGUGCAAAAAUAAUCACGGUUUUUGCCUAUUGCUUUUAAGAGCAAAAAUCACAGUUACUUUUGCACCAAUUUAAUA